CCAGAUGAGAAGGAACAGCCCCACGAGUUAUCAGGCAAAAAAUAAGGGCUUUGCUUCAAGGAGCAAUUAGCCUGAUAAGACGGUGGUUAAAGUUCAAAUAUUAGUGCUUCACUGCCUGGGUUCACAUCCCAGUGGGGCACCCCCGAGUUGUUACGGAACCUGUUUCGGUGUGCUAACCUCGAAAAUGGGGAGGAUACACAUAUCUCAUGUGAGUGGUUAUGAAGAUUAACUGUAACCUUUACUCAGAUACACGUGGAGUACCUUCUGCAUAGCAGACACUGUUCUGGGCAUCAUAAAUACGGUGCUAAAUAAGACAGAAAUACUUUCCAUCUUGUUCACAGUCUCUCGUGAAAACUCAGAACUCCCGUGAACCCAUGGAAAGGGUUUGGAAUAGCACCCGGCAUACAAUGCAGAAACUGAGGCACAGGGAGGCGAAACAGCUGGAAUUCAAGGCCAGUCUGUCUUGACUCCACAGAACACCCCUUAAACCCCAACACCAUAUAAACUCGGGAACUACAAAGUUCUGAAUGGAAGUUCAUACCAAUAAAAGCCGUUUUAUACAAGA
Pteropus alecto (black flying fox) is the source of this 565-nucleotide long non-coding RNA. RefSeq lists it as uncharacterized. The transcript has 2 exons. The record is from RefSeq and is a predicted model, not a curated record. Lineage: Eukaryota; Metazoa; Chordata; Mammalia; Chiroptera; Pteropodidae.